ACGGAAGGCAGCAGUGGGGAAUAUUGCACAAUGGGGGAAACCCUGAUGCAGCGACGCCGCGUGAGUGAAGAAGUAUUUCGGUAUGUAAAGCUCUAUCAGCAGGGAAGAAAAUGACGGUACCUGACUAAGAAGCCCCGGCUAACUACGUGCCAGCAGCCGCGGUAAUACGUAGGGGGCAAGCGUUAUCCGGAUUUACUGGGUGUAAAGGGAGCGUAGACGGCGAUGCAAGUCUGAUGUGAAAGCCCGGGGCUCAACCCCGGCACUGCAUUGGAAACUGUGUUGCUAGAGUGCAGGAGAGGUAAGUGGAAUUCCUAGUGUAGCGGUGAAAUGCGUAGAUAUUAGGAGGAACACCAGUGGCGAAGGCGGCUUACUGGACGAUUACUGACGCUGAGGCUCGAAAGCGUGGGGAGCAAACAGGAUUAGAUACCCUGGUA
Molecule: ribosomal RNA, 434 nt
Filed under: uncultured Lachnospiraceae bacterium
Lineage: Bacteria; Bacillati; Bacillota; Clostridia; Lachnospirales; Lachnospiraceae
Description: bacterial SSU rRNA
Rfam family: Bacterial small subunit ribosomal RNA
Source: RNAcentral